CAGCAGCCGCGGUAAUACGGAGGGUGCAAGCGUUAAUCGGAAUUACUGGGCGUAAAGCGCACGCAGGCGGUCUGUCAAGUCAGAUGUGAAAUCCCCGGGCUUAACCUGGGAACUGCAUUUGAAACUGGCAGACUGGAGUCUUGUAGAGGGGGGUAGAAUUCCAGGUGUAGCGGUGAAAUGCGUAGAGAUCUGGAGGAAUACCGGUGGCGAAGGCGGCCCCCUGGACAAAGACUGACGCUCAGGUGCGAAAGCGUGGGGAGCAAACAGGAUUAGAUACCCCUGUAGUCCCUGUCUCUUAUAC
This 301-nucleotide ribosomal RNA is filed under the name uncultured bacterium. RNAcentral describes it as "partial 16S ribosomal RNA". It matches the Rfam family "Bacterial small subunit ribosomal RNA", at positions 509 to 807 of the family's 1533-position model. The record is from RNAcentral.